Molecule: small RNA, 103 nt
Filed under: Drosophila erecta
Lineage: Eukaryota; Metazoa; Arthropoda; Insecta; Diptera; Drosophilidae
Description: GG20860
Source: RNAcentral
CCACAAGCGGAGCAGAGGAACCAAAGUUCGACGGUUUGUUCAGGCGGGCACGGCGCCAUGUCCCCGAAAUCAAAUCCGGCCUCCUGCAUGGCCACGAACCGCC